Hippocampus zosterae (dwarf seahorse) is the source of this 259-nucleotide long non-coding RNA. RefSeq lists it as uncharacterized. The record is from RefSeq and is a predicted model, not a curated record. Lineage: Eukaryota; Metazoa; Chordata; Actinopteri; Syngnathiformes; Syngnathidae. The transcript is spliced from 2 exons.
ACACAUUGUUAUUUUUCCCUGAACUCAACUUUUCACGACGUUCUUUUACAGAGCCCCCCCCCACGCCGACUGGCGUAAUGGUUUGAGUUGAACUCCUUACCGAAGUCAUUGGCUGAAGGUGGAGGUGUGCAGGACUGAACCUGGAAUGGACUGUUUCAAAUGGGGAAAAGAAGUUCUUGUGGAAAAUGGCUCGCUCGUAUUGUGUUUGAAAAUAGACGUUUCACGAGCACGGCAAUAAAAUAUGAAAAGUAAGAAGUAA